AGAGUUCGAUCAUGGCUCAGGAUGAACGCUAGCUACAGGCUUAACACAUGCAAGUCGAGGGGUAGCAGGGUAGCAAUACCGCUGACGACCGGCGCACGGGUGAGUAACACGUAUCCAACCUUCCCAUAACUCAGGGAUAGCCUUUCGAAAGAAAGAUUAAUACCUGAUAGUACUUUUUCAAGGCAUCUUGAGAAGUUAAAGAUUUAUUGGUUAUGGAUGGGGAUGCGUUCCAUUAGAUAGUUGGUGAGGUAACGGCUCACCAAGUCUUCGAUGGAUAGGGGUUCUGAGAGGAAGGUCCCCCACAUUGGUACUGAGACACGGACCAAACUCCUACGGGAGGCAGCAGUGAGGAAUAUUGGUCAAUGGGCGAGAGCCUGAACCAGCCAAGUAGCGUGAAGGAAUGAAGGUCCUAUGGAUUGUAAACUUCUUUUAUAGUAGAAUAAAGUGAUCCACGUGUGGAUUUUUGUAUGUAUACUAUGAAUAAGGAUCGGCUAACUCCGUGCCAGCCGCGGC
Molecule: ribosomal RNA, 513 nt
Filed under: uncultured bacterium
Lineage: Bacteria
Description: bacterial SSU rRNA
Rfam family: Bacterial small subunit ribosomal RNA
Source: RNAcentral